Long non-coding RNA from Pollicipes pollicipes, 323 nucleotides. RefSeq lists it as uncharacterized. The record is from RefSeq and is a predicted model, not a curated record. The transcript has 3 exons. Lineage: Eukaryota; Metazoa; Arthropoda; Thecostraca; Pollicipedomorpha; Pollicipedidae.
CCCCGUACGGCAUGUACGGCGCCCAGCAGCCGGCACCCGUGGGCAUUCCGGCAGCGAACCCGCCGGCCUCCACCGCGUUCGAUCCGUUUGGGCAUUUGUAAACUAUAGCAAGAACAGGAGCCGCACGUUCGCAGCGACCUCCUGGGCGGCGGGCGCCGCCACGCGACGAAGACAGCUCCAUCGGCCGCGCCGCCAGGUUGUUUUGAGAUUGUCGUCGCCGCCGUCUGUGUCGUUUGUGCUGUUGUCUCCCAUAGGCCGUCGCCGGGCGGCGGUCGCGCGCCGUAGUGGGCUGGCUGGCGGCGGGCCGGGCGCGCCGCCCGACC